UUCAUUCUAUAUCGCUACACUCAUAUAAUCGCGGAAAUAAGGUCCGCAAGUUUCUACCGGUUUACCGUAAAAAAACCGACUAUGGGUGCAAUGAAUGAAUAA
RNAcentral lists this non-coding RNA (102 nucleotides) under Virgibacillus necropolis. RNAcentral describes it as "Guanine sequence". It matches the Rfam family "Purine riboswitch aptamer". Rfam says of the family: Riboswitches are metabolite binding domains within certain messenger RNAs that serve as precision sensors for their corresponding targets. Allosteric rearrangement of mRNA structure is mediated by ligand binding, and this results in modulation of gene expression. The record is from Rfam by way of RNAcentral. Lineage: Bacteria; Bacillati; Bacillota; Bacilli; Caryophanales; Bacillaceae.